GAUGAACGCUGGCGGCGUGCCUAAUACAUGCAAGUCGAGCGAACGGACGAGAAGCUUGCUUCUCUGAUGUUAGCGGCGGACGGGUGAGUAACACGUGGAUAACCUACCUAUAAGACUGGGAUAACUUCGGGAAACCGGAGCUAAUACCGGAUAAUAUUUUGAACCGCAUGGUUCAAAAGUGAAAGACGGUCUUGCUGUCACUUAUAGAUGGAUCCGCGCUGCAUUAGCUAGUUGGUAAGGUAACGGCUUACCAAGGCAACGAUGCAUAGCCGACCUGAGAGGGUGAUCGGCCACACUGGAGCUGAGACACGGUCCAGCCUCCUACGGGAGGCAGCGGUAGGGAAUCUACCGCAAUGGGCGAAAGCCUGACGGAGCAACGCCGCGUGAGUGAUGAAGGUCUGCGGAUCGUAAAACUCUGUUAUUAGGGAAGAACAUAUGUGUAAGUAACUGUGCGCAUCUGGACGGAACCUAAGCAGAAAGCCACGGCUAACUACGU
This 496-nucleotide ribosomal RNA is filed under the name uncultured bacterium. RNAcentral describes it as "partial 16S ribosomal RNA". It matches the Rfam family "Bacterial small subunit ribosomal RNA", at positions 28 to 506 of the family's 1533-position model. The record is from RNAcentral.